GGCCCAGAGGCACAGUGGUGUGCGUCUGCAUUCAGUACUCAGGAUAAUAUGGCAAUAUUGAUGCGGGAGGAGCUUGUUCGAUUCAAGCCUGGGCCA
Molecule: non-coding RNA, 96 nt
Organism: Mycena rebaudengoi
Lineage: Eukaryota; Fungi; Basidiomycota; Agaricomycetes; Agaricales; Mycenaceae
Source: the annotation of a GenBank genome assembly